This 425-nucleotide ribosomal RNA is filed under the name uncultured bacterium. RNAcentral describes it as "partial 16S ribosomal RNA". It matches the Rfam family "Bacterial small subunit ribosomal RNA", at positions 354 to 796 of the family's 1533-position model. The record is from RNAcentral.
GUGAGGAAUUUUGCGCAAUGGGGGCAACCCUGACGCAGCGACGCCGCGUGGAGGACGAAGUCUUUCGGGAUGUAAACUCCUGUCAGUGGGGACGAUAAUGACGGUACCCACAGAGGAAGCACCGGCUAACUCCGUGCCAGCAGCCGCGGUAAGACGGAGGGUGCAAGCGUUGUUCGGAAUUACUGGGCGUAAAGCGUAUGUAGGCGGCAAGUUAAGUUCAAUGUUAAAGCCCACGGCUCAACCGAGGAGAUGCAUUGAAUACUGGCUAGCUAGAGGGUGUUAGAGGAAGACGGAAUUCCCAGUGUAGCGGUGAAAUGCGUAGAUAUUGGGAGGAACAUCGGUAGCGAAAGCGGUCUUCUGGGACAUACCUGACGCUCAGGCACGAAAGCGUGGGGAGCAAACAGGAUUAGAAACCCGGGUAGUCC